UGGAAUACGAGGAACAGACUUGUA
RNAcentral lists this non-coding RNA (24 nucleotides) under Arabidopsis thaliana (thale cress). The record is from RNAcentral. Lineage: Eukaryota; Viridiplantae; Streptophyta; Magnoliopsida; Brassicales; Brassicaceae.